Leptonychotes weddellii (Weddell seal) is the source of this 380-nucleotide non-coding RNA. The record is from RefSeq and is a predicted model, not a curated record. NCBI's taxonomy places the organism in Eukaryota, Metazoa, Chordata, Mammalia, Carnivora, Phocidae.
UCUUCAGAGAAGCAUACGGAGCCUUUCUAAGGGCGGCUGGGUCUUACUUGUGAUGUGCCAGUAAUGGAUGGAGUUGCUGUGGUCAGCAGUGCCUACACUGCAGGAUGACUCUGUUUGGGACUCUGAUUGGGACUCCGUUUGGGACUGAGAUGGAUGAGCAGGACGAUGCUGAUUUCACCAAUGAAAGAGCUAAGAAGAGCACAAAAGCAGACAUUUCAAAGCAUUCCAGACCUAAAAGGAAAAGAAGGUCCUGGAAUGUUCAGAAGACCCGCCCGAAGCAAUCCCUCAGACCCUGAGGGAGGAAGAGUCCAUAUGAACCACACUAAAAGUUAGAAUUUAUUGUAUAUCAGUAAGUUUAAUAAAAUUUAUUUUGAAAAGUA